This 919-nucleotide ribosomal RNA is filed under the name uncultured archaeon. Its description in RNAcentral is "bacterial SSU rRNA". It matches the Rfam family "Archaeal small subunit ribosomal RNA", at positions 1 to 922 of the family's 1478-position model. The record is from RNAcentral.
UUCUGGUUGAUCCCGCCGGAGGCCAUUGCUAUUGGAGUUGGAUUUAGCCAUGCUAGUCGCACGAGUUCAGACUCGUGGCAGAUAGCUCAGUAACACGUGGUCAAACUACCCUAUGGAGGAGAACAAUCUCGGGAAACUGAGGCUAAUUCUCCACAAGGCUCUCCCACUGGAAGGUGGAGAGCUGGAAACGCGCCAGCGCCAUAGGAUGUGACUGCGGCCGAUUAGGUAGACGGUGGGGUAACGGCCCACCGUGCCCAUAAUCGGUACGGGUUGUGAGAGCAAGAGCCCGGAGACGGUAUCUGAGACAAGAUACCGGGCCCUACGGGGCGCAGCAGGCGCGAAACCUUUACACUGCACGACAGUGCGAUAAGGCAACUCCAAGUGUGCAGGCAUAGUGCCUGCACUUUUCAGCACCGUAAGGAGGUGCUGGAAUAAGGACUGGGCAAGACCGGUGCCAGCGGCCGCGGUAAUACCGGCAGUCCAAGUGAUGGCCGAUCUUAUUGGGCCUAAAGCGUCCGUAGCCGGCCGUGCAAGUCCGUUGGGAAAUCCGCGCGCUCAACGCGCGGGCGACCAGCGGAAACUGCACGGCUUGGGACCGGAAGGCUCGAGGAGUACGUCCGGGGUAGGAGUGAAAUCCUGUAAUCCUGGACGGACUACCGAUGGCGAAAGCACCUCGAGAAGACGGAUCCGACGGUGAGGGACGAAAGCUAGGGUCUCGAACCGGAUUAGAUACCCGGGUAGUCCUAGCCGUAAACGAUGCCCGUUAGGUGUGGCACAGGCUACGAGCCUGUGCUGUGCCGUAGUGAAGACGAUUAACGGGCCGCCUGGGAAGUACGUCCGCAAGGAUGAAACUUAAAGGAAUUGGCGGGGGAGCACUACAACCGGAGGAGCCUGCGGUUUAAUUGGAUUCAACGCCGGA